Biomphalaria glabrata is the source of this 403-nucleotide long non-coding RNA. RefSeq lists it as uncharacterized. The transcript is spliced from 3 exons. NCBI's taxonomy places the organism in Eukaryota, Metazoa, Mollusca, Gastropoda, Planorbidae. The record is from RefSeq and is a predicted model, not a curated record.
UAUUAAUUUUUUUUUACUGCUAAUGACUCCUUUGACUCAAUCAGUACCUUUUGUCAGCACGUUGGAAUCGUGUUCUCAAAAUAAGAACAGAUAUAAUCUAGAAUCUAUUAAUCAAGACUAUAAUUUAGUGACUAAAUAACUUACAUUAAAACAAUGGGUGCUCCUUCAAACACUUCAAUACACAACACAACUUUUCGAUUCCUAAGAAGUUGCUACGUAGAUCCAUUCAAAUGGUCUCUUGUGAAAAGCAUUUCACUCUUUGCAGUGGCAAUUUUGGUAGCUAGAGAGAUGACUGCAGCUAGUGUGGAGCCUGCUGCUUGAUGCUUGUGUUGAAACAUCAUGGAAAACUUGUUGUGAUAUUAGCAUUGGACAAAUGAAUUAAACUUUUGUUUUGCAUUUUUGA